RNAcentral lists this non-coding RNA (107 nucleotides) under Bacillus sp. (in: firmicutes). RNAcentral describes it as "Bacillus sp. TPP sequence". It matches the Rfam family "TPP riboswitch aptamer (THI element)". From Rfam's summary of the family: Vitamin B(1) in its active form thiamin pyrophosphate (TPP) is an essential coenzyme that is synthesised by coupling of pyrimidine and thiazole moieties in bacteria. The previously detected thiamin-regulatory element, thi box was extended, resulting in a new, highly conserved RNA secondary structure, the THI element, which is widely distributed in eubacteria and also occurs in some archaea. Lineage: Bacteria; Bacillati; Bacillota; Bacilli; Caryophanales; Bacillaceae. The record is from RNAcentral.
UAGUUCCACAAGGGGGGCUGCGACAUGCGGCUGAGAGUGAAUGUUCGAGUUCUGACCCUUUGAACCUGUUAGUUAGCACUAGCGUAGGGAUGUGGAUUUGCCGGUUA